UUGAUAAGCGUGAGGUCGGAGGUUCAAGUCCUCCCAGGCCCACCAGUUACACUAUGCAGCAAAUUGCUCUGGUGACUGAAAGUUGCUCUGAGUGAGAAUGUUAAAAUCCAGUGAGAAUGUUACCACUCCCCUUAUUGAGUAAUCCCUUAAAGAAAAUUUAUGCUUAAAUAAAUUCUUCUAGGAGCGUUCAGAAGCUCCAUAGGAACUCAAAGCCUUCCAUAGAAACAAAGUCUACGCGAGAAUUUUUCUCUCUCCUCUUCAGUAAGGAGAAAAACAGGAAAAUAACGAGGGAAAUAAAAGGCCAAUAUUGUAUUUCUUAAUCAAUAUUGUCUCUCUCUCUUUGUAAAAAGCUUAAUGGUAAAAACUUAAAAGAGCUUCUGUUUUAAAAGUAUGGCGUUUUUAUAAAGCAAGACGUGAGGGCAUUUAAAACUGUUUUUAGGGGCCGUAGCUCAGCUGGGA
Molecule: unclassified non-coding RNA, 459 nt
Filed under: uncultured Bartonella sp.
Lineage: Bacteria; Pseudomonadati; Pseudomonadota; Alphaproteobacteria; Hyphomicrobiales; Bartonellaceae
Description: partial 16S-23S ribosomal RNA intergenic spacer
Source: RNAcentral